AGAGUUGAUUCUGGCGUCAGGAUGAACGCUAGCGACAGGCCUAACACAUGCAAGUCGAGGGCAGCACAAGGAGCAAUCUGAGGUGGCGACCGGCGCACGGGUGAGUAACACGUAUGCAACCUGCCUGUAAGCGGGGAAUAACCCGUUGAAAGACGGACUAAUACCGCAUAAUACUAAAUUACUGCAUGGUAAUUUAUUUAAACAUUUAUGGCUUACAGAUGGGCAUGCGCAUGAUUAGCUAGUUGGAGAGGUAACGGCUCCCCAAGGCAACGAUCAUUAGGGGUUCUGAGAGGAAGGUCCCCCACACUGGUACUGAGACACGGACCAGACUCCUACGGGAGGCAGCAGUGAGGAAUAUUGGUCAAUGGACGAGAGUCUGAACCAGCCAAGUCGCCGUGCAGGAAGAAUGUCCUAUGGAUUGUAAACUUCUUUUGAAGGGGAAUAAAGUACGGUACGUGUACCGUUUUGUAUGUACCCUUCGAAUAAGGAUCGGCUAACUCCGUGCCAGCAGCUGC
This 515-nucleotide ribosomal RNA is filed under the name uncultured bacterium. RNAcentral's name for it is "bacterial SSU rRNA". It matches the Rfam family "Bacterial small subunit ribosomal RNA", at positions 8 to 518 of the family's 1533-position model. The record is from RNAcentral.